AUGGGUGGCCUCUCCCUUCAGCACCCGUGGGCCUUUGCCUUUGGCCUCCUAGGCAACGUCAUCUCCUUCAUGACCUACCUGGCCCCACUGCCAACGUUCUACCGGAUCUACCGGAGCAAGUCGACGCAGGGAUUCCAGUCGGUCCCGUAUGUGGUGGCGCUCUUCAGCGCGAUGUUGUGGAUCUACUACGCGCUGCUCAAGUCUGACGAGCUCCUGCUCAUCACCAUCAACUCUGCCGGCUGCGUCAUCGAAGCCAUCUACAUCGUCAUGUACCUCGCUUACGCGCCAAAGCAAGCCAAGAUGUUCACGGCGAAGAUCCUCCUCCUCCUGAACGUGGGUGUGUUUGGCCUCAUCCUACUCCUCACCCUGCUGCUGGCGGGGGGCGAGAAGCGCGUCGUCAUGCUUGGGUGGGUCUGCGUCGGCUUCUCAGUCAGCGUCUUCGUCGCGCCCCUCAGCGUCAUCCGCCUUGUGGUGCGUACCCGGAGCGUGGAGUUCAUGCCCUUUUCACUCUCCCUCUCUCUCACCGCCAGCGCCGUAGUCUGGUUCCUCUACGGCCUCCUCAUCAAGGACAAAUACGUCGCUCUUCCCAACAUCCUGGGGUUCGCCUUUGGGGUGAUCCAGAUGGGGCUCUAUGCCCUCUACUGCAAUGCCACGACUAGGCAAGCGCCGAAGGAGGUGGACGGACCACUGCCUGAGCAUGUCAUCAACGUUGCUAAGCUCGGCCCAAUGGCUACUAUCGAGCUCAACAUGCCCGCAGCCGUCCAGCCACCUACGAAGGAGAACAUCGUAGCUUGUGCCAGCGGCGAGAGCAAAGAGAUCAGCGUUGAGAAGGUUGACAUGGCAACCAAUGUCGAGCAUGUAUAG
Molecule: ribosomal RNA, 864 nt
Filed under: Triticum aestivum (bread wheat)
Lineage: Eukaryota; Viridiplantae; Streptophyta; Magnoliopsida; Poales; Poaceae
Description: partial small subunit ribosomal RNA
Source: RNAcentral